This is a small nucleolar RNA of Corylus avellana, 95 nucleotides long. RefSeq annotates it as small nucleolar RNA snoR109. The record is from RefSeq and is a predicted model, not a curated record. Lineage: Eukaryota; Viridiplantae; Streptophyta; Magnoliopsida; Fagales; Betulaceae.
AGAGUGUAAUCCUAUACACUGAAGUUUACUGGCUGGUUGUCGUGAGAUCUUUCCGAUCUCCGUCGACUAAUCUGCUUACCGAACUUCUUAUAUUC